UCACAAGACACUGAAAACCCGGGUCAGGAGGUUAGGGGAAGAAAUCUCAGGGGAAAAUGGAAGACAGAGGUCAGCGCAAACAAAGGCACUCAUGAUCAAAAGCCAGCAGACCGAAGAGCACCAAAAUCCAUUGGGAGUAACGGUCUACUCAAGAAUCACGGUUGCUUCCAAGCAGGCCAGCAGCCAAACUGGAGGCAAGGCAACCCAGCUGGUUGACAGUGAAGAUUUGGAGCCCAGCACGCCAAGUUGG
Non-coding RNA from Python bivittatus (Burmese python), 250 nucleotides. The record is from RefSeq and is a predicted model, not a curated record. Lineage: Eukaryota; Metazoa; Chordata; Lepidosauria; Squamata; Pythonidae.